Molecule: ribosomal RNA, 479 nt
Filed under: uncultured bacterium
Lineage: Bacteria
Description: bacterial SSU rRNA
Rfam family: Bacterial small subunit ribosomal RNA
Source: RNAcentral
AACACAUGCAAGUCGAGGGGCAGCAUAAAAGUAGCAAUACUUGGUGGCGACCGGCGCACGGGUGAGUAACGCGUAUGCAACCUACCUAUCAGAGGGGAAUAACCCGGCGAAAGUCGGACUAAUACCGCAUAAAACAGGGGCACCGCAUGGUGAUAUUUGUUAAAGAAAUUCGCUGAUAGAUGGGCAUGCGUUCCAUUAGGUAGUUGGUGAGGUAACGGCUCACCAAGCCGACGAUGGAGUAGGGGAACUGAGAGGUUGGUCCCCCACACUGGUACUGAGACACGGACCAGACUCCUACGGGAGGCAGCAGUGAGGAAUAUUGGUCAAUGGGCGGGAGCCUGAACCAGCCAAGUCGCGUGGAAAAGGAAGAAGGAUCUAUGGUUCGUAAACUUCUUUUGCAGGGGAAUAAAGUGCAGGACGUGUCCUGUUUUGUAUGUACCCUGAGAAUAAGGAUCGGCUAACUCCGUGCCAGCAGCGGC